Molecule: long non-coding RNA, 2092 nt
Organism: Oxyura jamaicensis (ruddy duck)
Lineage: Eukaryota; Metazoa; Chordata; Aves; Anseriformes; Anatidae
Exons: 2
Source: RefSeq, a predicted model, not a curated record
AGUGUGUGAGGAGCGGGGCACUCCCUCGCCCCGGCCGCCAUUUUGUGGCUCUGAGAGCUCUCAGGGGGCUGCCUCAGGGCUUGUUGCUGCUCUGUGCUGGAGCAGUUAUGGAGGAGCUGGGGCAGAACUGAGAAAUCCAGGGCUGAAAAUCCACUUUAUUGCCUCUGAUGACAACAGGUUUCUUACCUGUUUUCUUCUGUCUGCUUGUCCGUUUUCUUCAGGCAGGGUAGGCCCCCAAGGGUGCACCCUCUGAAGACAGCCUGUGGAGAGCUCCAUGCACCCUCGCUUUGGGACAGCCUGAGGAGAGACUCCUGCAAAUAUCACUCCUGAUGUCCCACCAAGCCUGGUGGCAGCUGGGACAGACUGAGGGUUAGUGUGAGGGUCCUGCCUGUGUGGUGUGCAUGCGGCCAUUGAGGUUCCCUGGAGGAGCAGCUCUGCACCUUGGCUCCUGCACUAGCAACAGGUUCUGCCUAGCAUUUUUUAAUACCCUCCAACAGAAGUCAAGCUUGAGCUCAUGACUGGCAGGACUUUGUGAUGCUGUAUUUUGGAAGUACUGAUUAGUAGCAAUUCCUUCUGAUGUCAUUUGUAUGUCGAACUCUUUCCUAUCUUUGUAAGUUGUUCCUGAAAUAAGGCAGAGUGAGCAAGCUAAACUCUUCCUCAGGUGUUAUGCCAUUAAAGCUAGAGCAUCCACUGUGGAUAACUGGAUUAACGCCUGACUAAACUCUUGGCUAAAAAUUGCUCUAUCAGAUGUAAGAAUAACAAAUGUUGUGAUAGGAAAUUAAUGUGAAAAAAAGUUAACUCCCUUUUCAGACUACUUCUUCCUCAUACAUUAGGAAGGGAGUCUUGGUGUGACUGACUAACGUGGGCAGGAGGCUUUCCUACGUGCAUCCAGAUUGCAAAACACCCUCAACUAUGAAAAAGGUCUAAUGGAUGUGGCCUAAAUUUAGGAUAUGGAGGAUUAGUCCCUGUCUUUGCCACAGUUUUUCUGUGACUGUCCAUUUCAUUCAAUCUGCCUUAUUUUUGCAUGCAACAAUCCUACAAUGCAGAGAGGUAAUAGAAUAAAAUCCAUCAGUAGUUGUGAGGCACUCAGCUGCUGUGGUCAGAUAAGUACCACAGUGAAGGAAAUUCCUCUAAGUAUCUAUUAAGGACAGCACUUCACAGGGCUAUUGCCCCUUCUAUCCAAGGUGCAUGAAGCAUUCCAUCAAUGCUACUUGUACUCCUUCAAUACCCACGAGAAGCAACGCAUUAUAAAUCCCAUUUUACAGAUGGGCGAACUGACUUUUCCCCAAGUCCCAGAGUGGUUCAGUGACAGAACUGGGAAUUGAACCAUUAGACAUUUUCCUCUUCAUGACAGCUCUGUACAAUCCCAGGACUCAUUUAUUUUCCCUAUUAAAAAAGAAGUAAACAAGUAUUUUCUUUCUGAGACCCGCUGAGAAUGGGGGAUUGGGGAAAAAAUGGAAGUAAAAUUAAAAAUAAAAUGACAAAAGUCCCCCUUGGCCCUGAGUUGUCCAGUCUCCUUUACAUUCACACUUCUCUUUGUUAUGUUUCCUUGAAGUUGAACCUCCCUAGAGAAGGGAACCUCAGAGUUUCUGGUGCUGGGGAAGAAAUGCUUCAAGAAAAAGAAAAAUAAUCGCAGCUGCAAUGUUAAAAAUAAGAAGCUAAUCAAAGGCAGCCCAUGUGGGCGCCACUUUCAUCUCUCAUCUUCAAAGAGGUGCAAACAAACAUUGUCGGCGUGCCAAGCAGCAGCCUCGGCGGCUGACGAUCCCAUUACUCCUCCAGCGUCCACCCUCCUUUUCCAUGCUGCUGAGCCUGUAGGCAUGGGACUCCAGGAUCACUGCCAAGGUGGGAACCUCUAGUCACCAGAGGGGAAGCCACAUAUGGAAUUCCUCUGUGGAUCCAAAUUAUUUCAUAACAAACAUGCUUGCACCCUAUAGAUCAUUCCUUGUGCUAUUGCCUUUAGAUCCUUUCUGCUAACAAUAACAGCACCUUUCAUUACCCAAGGUGCAGAAGAGCCUCUAGAUCAGAGGUUUUGUCCUGGAUUUUUUUUUCCAAGGAUUUGGUUAUUAAAAAUAAUAGCUAGGCUCUGAUGAAA